UGGCCGAUAUCAUUUUUGUGACCUGCAGCUUGUACCCUCGCCGCCCAGUUGCAUAGUCACAAAAGUGAUCAUCGGAGG
This 78-nucleotide microRNA precursor is filed under the name Petromyzon marinus (sea lamprey). RNAcentral describes it as "microRNA pma-mir-153 precursor (pma-mir-153-3)". Its record names the gene pma-mir-153-3. It matches the Rfam family "mir-153 microRNA precursor family". Lineage: Eukaryota; Metazoa; Chordata; Hyperoartia; Petromyzontiformes; Petromyzontidae. The record is from miRBase by way of RNAcentral.